CCUAGCAAAGCUUGGCUCAGGACCCAGCUCCAGCAGUCCUGGAGGACAGAGGAUCGAGCCAGAGGAUUCUUCUCAAGCCUCAAACUCUGUUUCUUGCUUAGUUUGGACCUCCUCAGCCCUGUCACCCCUUCCUUCUUCCGGUUGCUCCCCUUCGGAGUGGGAGUGCCCGUCCGGUGCCCCACCGUUGCUGGAGGGACAGGCCCACAGCCGGAGAGGAAUCCGCCUCAGGAGAAACGCAGCUGGGGUCUCCCCCACCCCUGACUCGGAUGAGAUUGAGAUCAGACUUCGGAGUAGCUGCUGGAAUGAGUUAACACUCGGCUGUUGUGAUGGAGUGAAUGUAGUUCUCAUGCGAGAAGGACGUGAAUCUGGGGGCCAGGAGUGGACCGCUAUGGUCCGAACGUCCCCCCCCUGAAGUUCACAUGUGGAAACCGCCCCCCAGCGGCGAUGGUAGUCAGAGGCGGGGCCUCUGGGAGGUGACGAGGCCCUGAGGACUAGGGACUGGGGUCCGUGCCCUGAUGAAGGAGGCCCCAGGGAGCACCCUCGCCCCUUCCGCACUGUGAGGACACAGUGAGAAGAUGCCGUCUGUGAACAAGGAAGUGAGCUGUGGCCAGUGUAGAGAGCAGGACGGAGGCACUCAUGCCAAGCAGUGACUUUCGUCAUCAGUGACACAGCAGCCAACGGUGCUGAGCUAAGACCAGGCACCACCCAGACCAGCACCGGCUGGAGACACCCCGGAACUGAUCACCAGCAGGAGCAGGGGAGAUCUGCAGGGGCCCAAGGCUGAUGACAUCCCUUUAAAAAGGGAGGGCAGACGUGACCCCUCUGUGUCUGACCACCUCAGAAAGGCAGCUGCCGCCAAAGCCUCUGUCCGGUUCAUCUCCAACAGGAACAGAGACCCUCCGCUGCUUGGACAUAAUAAACAGUGAGCACCGAGGGCUGACCCGGAACUGACCGAGGCCUUAUCUCAACCUCGCACCCACAGACUUUGCGUUCGGUUGGUGAACUUCCUACCCCAUGCCGUAUCUUGUCUGUUGUGUGGCUCGUCUUGUGCUUUGCUUUGUGCGAGGUGUAAGAAGCCGUGUUAAAUGCUUAGUGGAGGGUCAUUGAGUUUAGAAUCCUGAAUCUGCUUUACAGUUAUGUCAACCUUGCUUUCUGACCGAAUCAAGCCGCCGUUGGGAAAGACACACCUCGUUCAUGUGUGUGCCUUCGUACCGUGCUCAUGACAACUGGACACCAAAUCUGCUGGCGCCCUGUCCUCGGACUUCCAGCCUCCAGAACUGUGAGACAUACAUGUCUGUCAUUCAUAAGCCAUCCUGUCUGUAUUCUUCCGCCACAGCAGCCUGAGUGGACGAGAACAGCAUUUGUACCAUUAUGGUGACCCAGGUGCACUGAGGUCUGACCAAGAGGAGCCGAUACAGUUGAGAGAAGUCAAGGAAUUAGAAUGGAUAGGAGAGUAAGAGAGACAGAAAACCAAGGACCACCCAUGCAGACUUACAGUGUGGAUGACUAACAGUCACUAAAGGCUGGAGAAGAUGAAGGUCUGGAGAGGCUCCACAGCUGACACCUUCUUUCCAGCUUCGAGCUCUUCAGGAGUCAUCCUCCCUGGGCCAUGCCCUACAGCUGCACCCUCUGGAUAAGAUAGCACCUGCUGAACUGGCAUCUGUCUUGUCACUUAUCUGGCCUCACCUCUGAGUCCCUGUUCUUCCUAAGAGAGGUUUCUGGUUUGCCGAUCCAGCUCUUUCCCAGGCCCAGGACCGCAGGGGAGCAGACACCUGGGACCUGCUUUUCUACACUCGAUCUUAGCCAAAAGGCCGAGGAGCGAUGGGGCCUGCUCUUCUAGAAGGGACUUUCAGCUGCUCGCAUUCUGUGGGCCACAGCGAGGUACGGGACCAAGCCCCAAAGCAGUGGACGGGUCGUAACAUGUACUGCCUGUGGGGCACCACGGGCAGGCAGGCAAGGAGGGAAAAGCUGUAAUGAAAUAACGCAAUCUCCCGGAGCCCAGAACUACCCCCAGACCUGUUUCUCCUCAGCCAUUUUGUGCCUUAAUAGGCACCGACCCUCCCUUUGGCCAGUCAAGGAGCCAGCCAUGAGUGUGUUGACCCGCAGACCACCUGGCCAGGAACACACAGAGGCACAGGUGUUGAGACCCGGCUCAAGCAAGCAGCCGUGUGCCGCCACAUGGAGCUCUGGUGUCACAGGGGGAUAGGAGGAGGGGGGACCAUAGUGUAGCCACAGCAGGGCCAGUGGGCUCCUCCCCAGACCAGUGCAGCGGUCUGCUCUCAGAGCAGGACUCCCCAGAACUCCCAGCAGUGUGACGAAUGAUCCAAUUUCCUCUUAAAAUCCCUUUUGAACACAUAAACAUGUGGCUUGAACGACACACAUUUAUUCUUUCUCAGUGCCGGAGUCAAGGUCAAGGUAAAGGCAGGGAUUGUUGCUCCUGAGGCCUCUCUCCUGGGACUGUGGAUGGGGUCUUCCCCUGUGUCCUCAAAAGGUCAUCCCUGUGUGUGCCUCUCUGUCCCAACUUUUUUUUUUUUUUGAGAGAGAGAGAGCAAGCAGGGGAGGGGCAGAGAGAGAGAGAGAGACAGAGGCUCUGAAGCAGGCUCUGUGCUGACAGCAGAGAGCCCGAUCUGGGCUCAAACUCACGAACCAAGAGAUCAUGACCUGAGCCGAAGUCGGAUGCUUAACCGACUGAGCCACCCAGGCAUCCCUGUCCCAAAUGCUUCGAAGGACACCAGCCAAAAUGGAUCAGGGCCCACCCUAAUGGCCUCAUUUUGCCUGAAUCACCUCCGUAAAGGCCCCAUCACCGAAUACAGUCACAGUCUGAGCGACUGGGGGUCAAGCCUUCAAUAUAUGAGUUUCAGAGGGACGCAGCUCAGUCCAUUACAGCCGCGGCCGUAUCUUGCAGCCCGGGACGCUGACCACUAGACCUGCCACUCUAGCCCCAGUUCAGGCUCCUCCUUUCUCACCAACACAACGGCCCCUCUAACUUCAGCUCUGGUCUUAUUACCCUCAAAUCCAGGCAGGAUUCUAAUGUCACUCCAAGAGUCUCAUCCCCUAAAGAGUAAGUUGAGAAACUGCUGAUGUAAUUAAGGCCGCCGACCCGAAACUAGGGGAAGUAUCCUGGAUCAUCCAGCUGGGCCCGGCCUAGUACCUGGAGCCCUUAAAAGCAGAGAUUUCUCUGGCUAGAGGCAGAGGAGGAGAGAUCAAAGCAUGAGAGAGACUCAAACGGCUGUCCCUGAAGGGCGCCAGGAGGCAAGGAACACAGGCAGUGUCUGGAAUCUGACAGACAGCAAGCUAGGAAAGAGGAAACUCAUCCUAAGACCGCUUGGACCUGAAUCCUACCAACACCCUGAAUGAGCCUGCAAACCACUCUUUCCUGGAGUCUCCAUAAAGCCCACCUGGCGGACCCCUGGAUUUCAGCCUUGCCGGGGCCACCGGACUUUUGAACUACAGAACUGUGAGACAGUAAGCUGGCGUGUGAAACCAUUUACUUUGCAAUGGUUUGUUGCAGCAAUGAUAGGAAACACCGUGAUCUGUACGGCAGAGUGACCUUUUCUAAAGUACAAAUAUGUUCAUAGCUCUCCUGUUUAAAAUCCUCAAUGGGGGCACCUGGGUGGCUCGGUGGGUUAAGCAUGUGACUUCGGCUCAGGUCAUAGUCUCACCAUUUGUA
Molecule: long non-coding RNA, 3670 nt
Organism: Prionailurus viverrinus (fishing cat)
Lineage: Eukaryota; Metazoa; Chordata; Mammalia; Carnivora; Felidae
Exons: 3
Source: RefSeq, a predicted model, not a curated record